Molecule: ribosomal RNA, 404 nt
Filed under: uncultured bacterium
Lineage: Bacteria
Description: bacterial SSU rRNA
Rfam family: Bacterial small subunit ribosomal RNA
Source: RNAcentral
UGGGGAAUAUUGCACAAUGGGGGAAACCCUGAUGCAGCAACGCCGCGUGAGUGAAGAAGUAUUUCGGUAUGUAAAGCUCUAUCAGCAGGGAAGAACAUGACGGUACCUGACUAAGAAGCCCCGGCUAACUACGUGCCAGCAGCCGCGGUAAUACGUAGGGGGCAAGCGUUAUCCGGAUUUACUGGGUGUAAAGGGAGCGUAGGCGGUUUGGCAAGUCAGAAGUGAAAGCCCAAGGCUUAACCAUGGGACUGCUUUUGAAACUGUCAGACUGGAUUGCAGGAGAGGUAAGUGGAAUUCCUGGUGUAGCGGUGAAAUGCGUAGAUAUCAGGAGGAACACCGGUGGCGAAGGCGGCUUACUGGACUGUAAAUGACGCUGAGGCUCGAAAGCGUGGGGAGCAAACAGG